GGUGUAGCUCAAGUGGUAGAGCGCGUGCUUAGCGUGCACGAAGUCCUGGGUUCCAUCCCCAGGAUCGCCU
This 70-nucleotide transfer RNA is filed under the name Camelus bactrianus (Bactrian camel). It matches the Rfam family "tRNA". Rfam says of the family: Transfer RNA (tRNA) molecules are approximately 80 nucleotides in length. Their secondary structure includes four short double-helical elements and three loops (D, anti-codon, and T loops). RNAcentral also lists the same sequence under 2 other names. Lineage: Eukaryota; Metazoa; Chordata; Mammalia; Artiodactyla; Camelidae. The record is from Rfam by way of RNAcentral.